UGGCUCGGUUCGCUCCGGCCCGGUCGGGUCUGGCUCGGGCUCGGGCUCGGGCUCGGCCUGGCUCGGCUUGGCUCGGUUCGACUCCGUCCGGCUCGGC
This 97-nucleotide transfer RNA is filed under the name Streptomyces capitiformicae. RNAcentral's name for it is "tRNA-Pro". The record is from RNAcentral. Lineage: Bacteria; Bacillati; Actinomycetota; Actinomycetes; Kitasatosporales; Streptomycetaceae.